CCUACGGGAGGCAGCAGUAGGGAAUUUUCGUCAAUGGGCGCAAGCCUGAACGAGCAAUGCCGCGUGAACGAGGAAGGUCUUCGGAUCGUAAAGUUCUGUUGAAGGGGAAAAAGAGCGGAGAGAGGAAAUGGUCUCCGAUUGAUAUUACCCUUCGAGGAAGUCACGGCUAACUACGUGCCAGCAGCCGCGGUAAUACGUAGGUGGCGAGCGUUAUCCGGAAUGAUUGGGCGUAAAGGGUGCGUAGGCGGCCUGCUAAGUCUGGAGUGAAAGGUACCGGCUCAACCGGUACAGGCUCUGGCAACUGGCGGGGUAGAGAGCAGCAGAGGGCGGUGGAACUCCAUGUGUAGCGGUAAAAUGCGUAGAUAUAUGGAAGAACACCAGUGGCGAAGGCGGCCGCCUGGCCUGUUACUGACGCUGAGGCACGAAAGCGUGGGGAGCAAAUAGGAUUAGAUACCUUGUAGUC
This 463-nucleotide ribosomal RNA is filed under the name uncultured bacterium. RNAcentral's name for it is "partial 16S ribosomal RNA". It matches the Rfam family "Bacterial small subunit ribosomal RNA", at positions 338 to 795 of the family's 1533-position model. The record is from RNAcentral.